AGUGUGGCUCAGUCGGUAGAGCAGCUGAUUCGUAAUCAGCAGGUCGCCGGUUCAAGUCCGGCCACU
RNAcentral lists this transfer RNA (66 nucleotides) under uncultured Ruminococcus sp. It matches the Rfam family "tRNA". Rfam says of the family: Transfer RNA (tRNA) molecules are approximately 80 nucleotides in length. Their secondary structure includes four short double-helical elements and three loops (D, anti-codon, and T loops). The record is from RNAcentral. Lineage: Bacteria; Bacillati; Bacillota; Clostridia; Eubacteriales; Oscillospiraceae. RNAcentral also lists the same sequence under 5 other names.